CUAAUAGUUAAUUAAAUUAUGUUAAAAUUUUACCGUUUAGAUAAAAAAAAGAAUUCGCCUAAAGAGAAGCGCCAUGUGAUUAAAUAAAAGGGAAACCAAUCUAAAAACAACCUAUCCUAAUUAGGUAUCCCGUAGCUCGAGCAUGGUUUCCGAACUAGGUCAAUUAAGGCUGCCUGGUACCAUUCUGAGUCCUCRUCAAAUGGCCCUGGAAUUUCUGAGGCGAUGAAGUCGUUAUCGUAGAGCGCGCACGAUGUUCCGCAGUCCCMGGAAUUUCUGACGCUAUGUGCUCAUCAUCGUAAAAUAAAUGGUGUUCCCUGGUCCAAGCGCACUCCCCAGGAACGAAGGUAUAGUGCGUAAAYGGAAAAUGGACGUGACCGUCUUUAGGAGCGGGUUUAAACGGCUCGUCCGUGUUAUAAGGCAAAAGGUGAGUGCGACAAAAAGGGCACUCAUAUCGUUGUGGCAGGUACGAAUUUCUAAAAUGCCUGAGCUAAACAUUACUCGUGGAUGUAUUUGCCCGAAUCCUGUGUCACGCAACAGGGCAUCACCACUGUUGGUGCCUUGACGUCAAAAUCGGCGCAAGUACAUCUACGCUCAUGAUGAGCGAUCAAGCGUUCACGAUCUCUACYAAGGGUUCUUUUUGAUUUGGUUUUGCGCUUCCUACAUCGUUUCUUAUGUUUCAGGGGACUGUCCAUCUAGAAAUAGAAACGGAUAGAGCUCCGAUUAAUAGCAUGGCCUUUUGACAACAAAACAAAAAGAAAAACAAGGUUUAAGCGAMAUUUUAGCUACAAGUGAAAAAAAAUUAAUGGAUUUUAACAAAUUUUAACAAAAAACUACAAUUUUAGCGAUUUCACAGGUAUAACGUUUCAUGAGACAUAAAGCAAUCAAAAAAAACUUACAUACUACUAAAUGCAAUUACUCAUAUCCUUCGCUGACUCGACCGAGUCAAAAAUAAAAGCCAAAAGACUUACCCGGUUCUGCACCACUGUUAGCGGGGGUUUACUCAAGUAGAAGCAGGUAUCAGUUCUUGUGUCUUUAUUGGUGCUAUUUGCAACUGUAAUGGGGCUUGACUUACUAACCAAGGAGACCAAAUGUAGAGCUUACUAGGAUCUUUAUUCGUCGUUAUUAAGACUCAAGUUACAAAUAUACAAGUGUGUUGAAUGUAGGAAAGGGUGCCUUUUUAUAAGGACAACCCAGUCAAACUAGUUAUUCYGAAUGUCGUCAUAAUUAUAUGGAAUAUUUAUUAUCUGGUCAUAACGUGACCUAUUGACUCGUGAUCUUCUUGUUCAAAAGAAACUAUUUGUAAACCRGAUUAACUGACAAAGCGUCGAUGACAAAGACUUAAGUAGUGGUUUUCACACAAACUGAGUAAUAAGAAUAUAAGUCUUAUUCAGUAAAAGAUAGGUAAAUUCUGACUCAAAGUUCGUAGUCAAACAAAACUUAAUUGGUGACGCUUAUUAGAUAUUCCAGAUAGAAAAGUUCUACUGCUCAUGCGUUAAUCACUGGUCAAAAACUGGUUUUUGACGACAGCUGAACUACAGAGUAGGAUUUCUCAUCCUGUACAAAUAGUAUUCAAUUACGCGUGUUGGACAGAGGUGUUGCAGAAUGUCAACAGAUAACGUACCAUAGAAAUAGUAAUUAAGGUCUUACUGAAAACAUGACGUUGCUAUGACAACUUGAGUAAUUAGAGUUCACUUGAGUCGAAAUAUGAGAUAACUAGAAAUAGCCUCGCUACAAUACCCUCUCUUUUAAAGUUCGAGCUCCUGCGAGAAGUAUUGAAGGCAGAAAAAGAUCCAAAUAGUUCUAAAGAUAUUUUGCUUCACCGUAAACCCUUAAGAAUAAAUGCGAUUAAAUAAGUGGAAACUCUAAAUACAGAGUUACCGUAAAAAUACGAGUAAAUGUUUUGAAUAAAUAGAAGUAACUGGAAUAGGUAAUCAAUUUCAAGCAAUCAAAGUGAAUUGAAAAUUCGAAAAARAGAAACCGUUUCUCAGCGUAAAAUUGAGUAAAUACUGUAGUUAAUUUUUUUGUAAGUUACUUUUUGAAAAUUUUGUACUUUUUGUAAAUAUUUUGUUCCCAACACCGAAAUAAUAAGGUAAAUCCGAGAAAAACCCUAAACGUGAAUAAAUUGAUUACAUAAUACCAAUACCGUAAAUACCAAGAUGACCAAUCACUCCGUUAUUGCGUCAUUCUUCGUGCUAAGCUUUCUUUUUUUUGUAUUAUGUUUUUAAGGGUUGUUUUUUCUACACAGAAUAUUUUUAUCACUCAAAUCAUUUCAUACGUCACCCUAGCAUCCUAAGUCAAAAGUCAGUAACAGCGAGCGUACGAUACAUGGUACAACAAUCACGCAAAACAAAAAUAACGUUACAAGAAACUAAACGUUAGAGGGGAAAGGCCCCAACAGAGCGAAGCCCUGCCGACGGGCAACGCGGCGUGCUCGAGCCCAUCGUUGCUCGGGCAGGGGACAGUAGUUCAAUGUUCUAAACAGAACGGGCCAUGAACCCUCAGUGCCAUCCGGGGUUGGAAGUGGCACGUUUGUCGGGAGGAUGGGCCUCCCACACCCAUGUUCGGGGCAUUCCCGACACAAAUGUUCUAACAAACAGGGUUCAUGAACCCGGCUGCCACAGCAGGUUAGGGUGGCCGGUGUGUGUGGCAUUUCCGCGAAGACAAUUUUAUUACAGACAAUACAUGGUUCUAGUGGGGUUGACAUGACGAUAUUAAGCUGUGAAAUCGAAAGAAGCAAACCAAACAUUACUAUGAAAGAAAAACGAUUACAGUUUAAGUGUGGCAAUUUGACUGGC
This is a long non-coding RNA of Exaiptasia diaphana, 2795 nucleotides long. RefSeq lists it as uncharacterized. The transcript is spliced from 2 exons. NCBI's taxonomy places the organism in Eukaryota, Metazoa, Cnidaria, Anthozoa, Actiniaria, Aiptasiidae. The record is from RefSeq and is a predicted model, not a curated record.